UGGGGGUGCAGGUGGGGGGCU
This 21-nucleotide microRNA is filed under the name Gallus gallus (chicken). RNAcentral's name for it is "gga-miR-12287-5p". Lineage: Eukaryota; Metazoa; Chordata; Aves; Galliformes; Phasianidae. The record is from miRBase by way of RNAcentral.